GAUGAACGCUGGCGGCGUGCCUAAUACAUGCAAGUCGAGCGAACGGACGAGAAGCUUGCUUCUCUGAUGUUAGCGGCGGACGGGUGAGUAACACGUGGAUAACCUACCUAUAAGACUGGGAUAACUUCGGGAAACCGGAGCUAAUACCGGAUGAUAUUUUGAACCGCAUGGUUCAAAAGUGAAAGACGGCCUUGCUGUCACUUAUAGAUGGAUCCGCGCUGCAUUAGCUAGUUGGUAAGGUAACGGCUUACCAAGGCAACGAUGCAUAGCCGACCUGAGAGGGUGAUCGGCCACACUGGAACUGAGACACGGUCCAGACUCCUACGGGAGGCAGCAGUAGGGAAUCUUCCGCAAUGGGCGAAAGUCUGACGGAGCAACGCCGCGUGAGUGAUGAAGGUCUUCGGAUCGUAAAACUCUGUUAUUAGGGAAGAACAUAUGUGUAAGUAACUGUGCACAUCUUGACGGUACCUAAUCAGAAAGCCACGGCUAACUACGUGCCAGCAGCCGCGGUAAUACGUAGGUGGCAAGCGUUAUCCGGAAUUAUUGGGCGUAAAGCGCGCGUAGGCGGUUUUUUAAGUCUGAUGUGAAAGCCCACGGCUCAACCGUGGAGGGUCAUUGGAAACUGGAAAACUUGAGUGCAGAAGAGGAAAGUGGAAUUCCAUGUGUAGCGGUGAAAUGCGCAGAGAUAUGGAGGAACACCAGUGGCGAAGGCGACUUUCUGGUCUGUAACUGACGCUGAUGUGCGAAAGCGUGGGGAUCAAACAGGAUUAGAUACCCUGGUAGUCCACGCCGUAAACGAUGAGUGCUAAGUGUUAGGGGGUUUCCGCCCCUUAGUGCUGCAGCUAACGCAUUAAGCACUCCGCCUGGGGAGUACGACCGCAAGGUUGAAACUCAAAGGAAUUGACGGGGACCCGCACAAGCGGUGGAGCAUGUGGUUUAAUUCGAAGCAACGCGAAGAACCUUACCAAAUCUUGACAUCCUUUGACAACUCUAGAGAUAGAGCCUUCCCCUUCGGGGGACAAAGUGACAGGUGGUGCAUGGUUGUCGUCAGCUCGUGUCGUGAGAUGUUGGGUUAAGUCCCGCAACGAGCGCAACCCUUAAGCUUAGUUGCCAUCAUUAAGUUGGGCACUCUAAGUUGACUGCCGGUGACAAACCGGAGGAAGGUGGGGAUGACGUCAAAUCAUCAUGCCCCUUAUGAUUUGGGCUACACACGUGCUACAAUGGACAAUACAAAGGGCAGCGAAACCGCGAGGUCAAGCAAAUCCCAUAAAGUUGUUCUCAGUUCGGAUUGUAGUCUGCAACUCGACUACAUGAAGCUGGAAUCGCUAGUAAUCGUAGAUCAGCAUGCUACGGUGAAUACGUUCCCGGGUCU
This 1372-nucleotide ribosomal RNA is filed under the name uncultured bacterium. Its description in RNAcentral is "bacterial SSU rRNA". It matches the Rfam family "Bacterial small subunit ribosomal RNA", at positions 28 to 1381 of the family's 1533-position model. The record is from RNAcentral.